This 89-nucleotide transfer RNA is filed under the name Candidatus Gemmiger excrementavium. RNAcentral describes it as "tRNA-OTHER". The record is from RNAcentral. Lineage: Bacteria; Bacillati; Bacillota; Clostridia; Eubacteriales; Oscillospiraceae.
GGAGCACAGACGGCAUUGGGGACACAAAACUCGAAAUGCGAUAGGGCGUUAACAGCGCCGCCAGAGUUCAAAUCUCUGAUGCUCCGCCA